Long non-coding RNA from Cuculus canorus (common cuckoo), 3937 nucleotides. RefSeq lists it as uncharacterized. The transcript is spliced from 3 exons. The record is from RefSeq and is a predicted model, not a curated record. Lineage: Eukaryota; Metazoa; Chordata; Aves; Cuculiformes; Cuculidae.
AUUCUUAGCAGCUGCUGCAGCUUGUUUGGUCUUCAGAAAAGUUGAGGUCCAAGUACCCAAGAAAUGCAGAAUGGAACUGCUGAAGUAGUUGUGUUAAUACACUGUUUGUCGUCAUACACAGGAGUAUAGAGAAAUUGAUGCACUGGGCAAGAACAAACUCCACUAAGAGUGUUGAUUUAGGCACUUUGCUUCACUCUAAUGGUAUUUUCAGUAAUCUGGAGGCUUCAUCAUGUCAGCUGAAAGAAGAGAAAUAGGUGUGAGCAAGCAAGCAACUGAUUGACCAGGAGAGCUGGGCAGUGCUGCAUGAAGUCUAAGGCUUUGGUAAAAGAUCAGUGUUCUUCAGAUGUUGUAAUGCCAGCAUCUCAGGAAGACAUUGGUGAAACAUCAGCAAUUCCGUAUGUAAUUAUGGAAAAUGAAAUGCACAAAAGCUGUUUUGGGGAAGAUGGAUGCACAGUCUUUUAGUGUUAACUUUGUCCACAAUGACAGGAAUCUGAACUUUGGCAAAGUUAUGGCAUUUGCCAAUUAACUUUUUACCUUUUGUUAGGUCCAAAGAGAAACUGGAACAAAAGGUAACGAAAGCGAAAUCAUUAAAGUCUUUAAGUUUUGAAAUAUUUAAACAGUGAAGAAAUAGCAUGCCGUUUCUAGAUGAAAGCAACUGGACUUAAAAAAGUGUGUAUAAUUUUGACAAACUGGACUUCCUAUAGGAGGCAGUCUUCAUGUAAUUAAAACACUGCAGCUGCAGUAGAAGAAAAAAGGAAACACUGAAAAGCAAUAAAAUCUUUCCACUGACUUUGAUGGGCUUAACGUCAAGACUCUACAGAGAAAAAACAGAAACACUACCAAAGAGCAGAGGAAGGCUGAAUUAUGGAAGCAUUAAGCGAAUUAAGGAAAGUAGAGGAAAAGUAGAGGAAAGUACUUCCAGGCUGUAGAAUGAAAGUAAGAUGUUUGGAAAAAGCCAGCAGGUGCUCCUCAAGGUAAAAAAAAAUCUUGCCUGAUCAACCUAGCUGAAUUCUAUGAUGACACGUUCUGCAUAUGAAGAGAGAGCAGUGGAUACUGUGUGCCUUCACCUUCUGUAGUAGCCUUGUGAUGAAUUGUGGAGAUCUGGGCUGGGUGGGUGGAGUACAGGGUUAGUGAAACCUACUUGAGUGGCUAGGCUUGAAGUGUAAUAGUCAGUGAUGUGAAGGCAAGCCAGCAGCAUACCAGGCAUGGCACCUGACAAGGAGCAGCCAUGUGCAACUCUACAGGGCUCAGUGUUGACAAAGUAGGAGGCAUCUUUGCAGAAAAUGGUUCUAAGCAUCUCGGUGGCACUGCAUGCUGAGUGUAAUUCAGCAGCACACCCUUCUUGUGAUGAAGACCAAUCAUUUGCUAGUCUGCACUACCAGGUGUGGAAUCUAUGAGUCGAGGAAAGCAAAAAUUCUCCUCUGCUUGGAGUAGAAGCAGCUGCAUCUAUGUCUAGUUUUGUUGAUUCCACUAUGCGAAAGACAGUGAUAAUGUCAUACAAGUCCAGCAGACCACAAAGAUUAAUAGGAAUUUCAACAGAAGGCCACAGGAAUGGGGUUUCUUCAGCCUGCGGAAGUGAAGGCUAAAGGGAGGAAAUUUACUUUCUGUCUUCAACUACCUACUUGAUGGUUGUAAGGAUUCUUUUGAUAUGCACAGUGAAAGGAUGAGUGAUGAUGGACAUAAGUUGCACGAGGUUAGUAACUUUCAUAAUUCCAUGCUGACUGUGCCUGAUUACCUGGUUAUCCUGAAUGUGCUGUAUGAUGGUAAUUGAGGUGAUCUGCUCCGUAACCUUCCACAGAAACCAGGUCAGGCUAACAGACCUGCAGUUCUCCAGAUCCUCCUUCUGUCUGUUCUUAUAGAUGGGCAUCACAUGUUCUGACCCCAUGUCUGCUGAUAAAUGAUACAAAGUGGCUGGGUGAGCACUUCUGCCAGCUCCCUCAGUAUCCUUGGGUGGAUCCCAUCUGGCCCCACAGCUCUGUGUGUGUCUUAGUGGUGCAGCACGUUGCUAGCAAUUUCCUCUUGGAUUAUGGGGGCUUCGUUCUAUUCCCCCUUCCUGUCUUCUAGCUCAGAGGCUGGGUACCCAGGGAGCAAUUGAUCUUACUAUUAAAGACUGCGACAAAGAAGGCAUUAUGUACCUUAGACUUUUCCUCAUCUUUUGUCAUGGUGUUUCCCCCUCAUCCAAUAAAGGCUGAAGGUUCUCUUUAGCCUUUCUUUUGUUGCUAAUGUAUUUAUAGAAACAUUUUUAAUUGUCUUUUAUGGGUGUAGUCAGAUUAAAUUGUAGCUGGGCUUUGGCCCUUAUAAUUUCCUCUCUGCACAACAUUCUUAUAUUCCUCCAGAGCUGCCUCUCAGUGAGUGACUGCCGGAUCAAGGAAAAUCUCAUGUGAGCUGAGAAAGCUGGGGCAGUGUGCAGGCUGAGUAGACUACACAAUGCUCCAAAGAAAAUAUCUUUUAAAAUAUGACUAUGACAAGCUUAACUCCUCAGGUCUAACAUAUUCUGUCUUACAGUAGAUGUGUCAGAUUGGUAGUGGACUACUGCAGUGAAAAGCCUGGGGAUAGCAGACAUCAGAUCUUCCUGUGAGGAAUUGCUGAAGGUGACACCCUGCACUGGCUUACAGUCAAGAAGAUCUAAAGUUCACUUUGAAGUAUAACCCAGAAUAAGAGGACUGAUCUUGAGAAGGAUAAGGUAUGAGCUGACCUCUUGCUGUGUGGGUGUCGUGGUGGCCUCCAGUUACAGGUCAGGAGCAUUGCAGGUGGUUUCCAAACCAGGAAGGUUGCUCUAACAAUGCACAACUGAUUCCCCGCAGGGCUCAUACUAACGAAGUGUUGAAAGGGAAAUGAAAAUAGAGAGAACAGCUUUACUCCCCUCUUCCUUUCAGCUCUUCUCUCUCUCUGGUUUAUUCUGUGCAAUGAGAGGCCACUGAGAUCAGCUGAUGGUACUUCUGAUGUGGUUUCUAGGACUUCUCUCAGUUAACUCUGUCCUAAAAUAGAGCAGGUCUUUAACAACAGCCUUUGUUUCUUGAUUUUCAAAUCACCAGUGAUAGAAAUCUUAGUACAUGGUAAAUAGUUUCAAUCUUUUUCUACUUUAAACUGGUUUGGUUCCACUCCAGCUCCUGGUUGCUGGUUGCAGCUGUAGUUGCUCAGCUGAAAAAUGCUGUGGUAAAUAUCUGCUCUUCAUAGAGAUGAAUAGGCUAAAGAGAUGAAUCUUCCCCAGUCUUUCUCUCUCUCUUAAUCAUAAUUUUCCUAUUCUUCAGUCAGCAUUAAGGUUCUUUACAGUUAUGCCAAUCUUCUCUACACUAUCAAUAUCCUUAUUUACCUGCUAUUCCUAGAAAUGGCCACAAUAUUAUUGUGAUGGCUGCCUCAAUACUAAACUCAGAAGCGUUCAGCAUCCUUAUUCUCAAUCAAUGUUCCCUGUGCACACACACAGAAUUCCCUUUAGCACUCUGGUUAUAUUUAACAUUAACAGAUCAUGAUGCAGAAUCCUUUAAAAUAGCUGCUCUGCAUGAAAGAAAUACUAGAUCCUGUAUGUAUAUAGUGUAUUUUUUAAUCUUACAGGUAUGGUUUUAUAUCUGUCUGCUUAGACUAACAUAUACCAUUGGUAUAUGACAAGGUUAAUGCAAGUUGUUCUCACUCAGAGUUCUGUUCUCUCAUCAUUGUUUGCUGUCCUCCCAGUCCUGCUGUUACCUGCCAAGUUCAAAGCUAACAACUUUACGUAUUUCCCCCAGAUCAUUGACAACAUUUUCUAGAGUACAGAGUCAAUAAUUAAUUUCUGUAAUUAUAGUAAAAGCACAUCUACUCAUUUUUGGUGGUCUGUUUAUAGUUAGCCUUAGAAAUUUGCUAUUUAAUGUAUGCGAUGUAUAGGUUAUUUUCAUCCUGGUGUUUAUUUUUUUAAUUAGGCUAUUUUGUGAUAUCAAGUGAAAUGUCUUAUAAAAGAGUGUAA